GCGAGCGGCGGAUGGGUGAGUAACACGUGGGGAACCUGCCCCUGAGUCUGGGAUACCAUUUGGAAACAGGUGCUAAUACCGGAUAAUAAAGCAGAUCGCAUGAUCAGCUUUUGAAAGGCGGCGUAAGCUGUCGCUAAGGGAUGGCCCCGCGGUGCAUUAGCUAGUUGGUAAGGUAACGGCUUACCAAGGCGACGAUGCAUAGCCGAGUUGAGAGACUGAUCGGCCACAUUGGGACUGAGACACGGCCCAAACUCCUACGGGAGGCAGCAGUAGGGAAUCUUCCACAAUGGACGCAAGUCUGAUGGAGCAACGCCGCGUGAGUGAAGAAGGUUUUCGGAUCGUAAAGCUCUGUUGUUGGUGAAGAAGGAUAGAGGUAGUAACUGGCCUUUAUUUGACGGUAAUCAACCAGAAAGUCACGGCUAACUACGUGCCAGCAGCCGCGGUAAUACGUAGGUGGCAAGCGUUGUCCGGAUUUAUUGGGCGUAAAGCGAGCGCAGGCGGAAAAAUAAGUCUAAUGUGAAAGCCCUCGGCUUAACCGAGGAACUGCAUCGGAAACUGCUUUUCUUGAGUGCAGAAGAGGAGAGUGGAACUCCAUGUGUAGCGGUGGAAUGCGUAGAUAUAUGGAAGAACACCAGUGGCGAAGGCGGCUCUCUGGUCUGCAACUGACGCUGAGGCUCGAAAGCAUGGGUAGCGAACAGGAUUAGAUACCCUGGUAGUCCAUGCCGUAAACGAUGAGUGCUAAGUGUUGGGAGGUUUCCGCCUCUCAGUGCUGCAGCUAACGCAUUAAGCACUCCGCCUGGGGAGUACGACCGCAAGGGUUGAAACUCAAAGGAAUUGACGGGGGCCC
This 847-nucleotide ribosomal RNA is filed under the name uncultured bacterium. RNAcentral describes it as "bacterial SSU rRNA". It matches the Rfam family "Bacterial small subunit ribosomal RNA", at positions 91 to 922 of the family's 1533-position model. The record is from RNAcentral.